UCCAGACUCCUACGGGAGGCAGCAGUGGGGGAUAUUGCACAAUGGGGGAAACCCUGAUGCAGCGACGCCGCGUGAGUGAAGAAGUAUUUCGGUAUGUAAAGCUCUAUCAGCAGGGAAGAAAAAAGACGGUACCUGACUAAGAAGCCCCGGCUAACUACGUGCCAGCAGCCGCGGUAAUACGUAGGGGGCAAGCGUUAUCCGGAUUUACUGGGUGUAAAGGGAGCGUAGACGGCAAUACAAGUCGGAAGUGAAAUCCCCGGGCUCAACCGGGGAACUGCUUUGGAAACUGUAUGGCUGGAGUGCUGGAGAGGUAAGCGGAAUUCCUAGUGUAGCGGUGAAAUGCGUAGAUAUUAGGAGGAACACCAGUGGCGAAGGCGGCUUACUGGACAGUAACUGACGUUGAGGCUCGAAAGCGUGGGGAGCAAACAGGAUUAGAUACCCGAGUA
This 446-nucleotide ribosomal RNA is filed under the name uncultured bacterium. RNAcentral's name for it is "bacterial SSU rRNA". It matches the Rfam family "Bacterial small subunit ribosomal RNA", at positions 330 to 792 of the family's 1533-position model. The record is from RNAcentral.